GUAACAAGGUUUCCGUAGGUGAACCUGCGGAAGGAUCAUUACUGAUUUGCUUAAUUGCACCACAUGUGUUUUUCUUUGAAACAAACUUGCUUUGGCGGUGGGCCCAGCCUGCCGCCAGAGGUCUAAACUUACAACCAAUUUUUUAUCAACUUGUCACACCAGAUUAUUACUAAUAGUCAAAACUUUCAACAACGGAUCUCUUGGUUCUCGCAUCGAUGAAGAACGCAGCGAAAUGCGAUACGUAAUAUGAAUUGCAGAUAUUCGUGAAUCAUCGAAUCUUUGAACGCACAUUGCGCCCUCUGGUAUUCCGGAGGGCAUGCCUGUUUGAGCGUCGUUUCUCCCUCAAACCGCUGGGUUUGGUGUUGAGCAAUACGACUUGGGUUUGCUUGAAAGACGGUAGUGGUAAGGCGGGAUCGCUUUGACAAUGGCUUAGGUCUAACCAAAAACAUUGCUUGCGGCGGUAACGUCCACCACGUAUAUCUUCAAACUUUGACCUCAAAUCAGGUAGGACUACCCGCUGAACUUAAGCAUAUC
This 534-nucleotide unclassified non-coding RNA is filed under the name Candida albicans. RNAcentral's name for it is "partial contains small subunit ribosomal RNA, internal transcribed spacer 1, 5.8S ribosomal RNA, internal transcribed spacer 2, and large subunit ribosomal RNA". The stretch from base 181 to 334 matches the Rfam family "5.8S ribosomal RNA". Lineage: Eukaryota; Fungi; Ascomycota; Pichiomycetes; Serinales; Debaryomycetaceae. The record is from RNAcentral.